RNAcentral lists this ribosomal RNA (515 nucleotides) under uncultured bacterium. RNAcentral's name for it is "partial 16S ribosomal RNA". It matches the Rfam family "Bacterial small subunit ribosomal RNA", at positions 28 to 523 of the family's 1533-position model. The record is from RNAcentral.
GAUGAAUGCUGGCGGCGUGCCUAAUACAUGCAAGUCGAGCGAAUGGAUUAAGAGCUUGCUCUUAUGAAGUUAGCGGCGGACGGGUGAGUAACACGUGGGUAACCUGCCCAUAAGACUGGGAUAACUCCGGGAAACCGGGGCUAAUACCGGAUAACAUUUUGAACCGCAUGGUUCGGAAUUGAAAGGCGGCUUCGGCUGUCACUUAUGGAUGGACCCGCGUCGCAUUAGCUAGUUGGUGAGGUAACGGCUCACCAAGGCAACGAUGCGUAGCCGACCUGAGAGGGUGAUCGGCCACACUGGGACUGAGACACGGCCCAGACUCCUACGGGUGGCAGCAGUAGGGAAUCUUCCGCAAUGGACGAAAGUCUGACGGAGCAACGCCGCGUGAGUGAUGAAGGCUUUCGGGUCGUAAAACUCUGUUGUUAGGGAAGAACAAGUGCUAGUUGAAUAAGCUGGCACCUUGACGGUACCUAACCAGAAAGCCACGGCUAACUACGUGCCAGCAGCCGCAGUAA